This 1035-nucleotide long non-coding RNA is filed under the name Anas platyrhynchos platyrhynchos (common mallard). RNAcentral's name for it is "lncRNA (ENSAPLG00000025700.1)". The record is from RNAcentral. Lineage: Eukaryota; Metazoa; Chordata; Aves; Anseriformes; Anatidae.
UGGGAGGGAUACUGAGGCUACUGGGAGGGUUACUGGGGGCACUGGGGGGCACUGGGGAUACUGGGAGCGGCAUUGGGAAGGGCAUUGGGGAUGCUGGGAGGCACUGGGAGGAGCUGGGGAUGCUGGGAGGGGCAUCGGGGUUACUGGGAAUAUUGGGGAAUACCGGGGGGGCACUGGGGGUACUGGGAGGCACUAGGGGGAUACUGGGAGGUACUGGGAAGUGCUGGGAAGUACUGGGAAGUGCUGGGAGGGGUGCUGGGAGGCACUGGGAAGACACUGGGGGAGCACUGGGCAUACUGGUGGCAUACUGGUGCCUUACUGGUGUUACUGGUUCCCAGGCUACGUGCGGGUGCUGCUGGCGGCCGCCGCCUUCGUGCUGAUGCCGCAGGAGCCGGGCCCGGCGGCCGCCUGUUACCUGCUCAGCGCCCUCCUGGACGCCGUGGACGGGCUGGCGGCCAGGAUGCUGGGGCAGGGUGGGCGGGGCCUGGGGGUGGGCGGGGCCUGGGGUGGGCGGGGCGUGUGAAGUGGGCGGGGCUUCGUGGGAGGGGGCGGGGCCUCCAUGGGGGGCUCUGGGUCCUGCCCUAGAUGGGGCUGCUGGGCUGGAGUGGGCGUGGCCUAGAGGUGGUGGGCGUGUCUUAGGGUGGGCGUGGCCUCUUGGGGGCGGGGCUUCACCCCUCUAUUGCACGGAGCACCCAAACCCGUGGCUCCCCUCCCCCUCCUGGAGGCCCCUCCCCCUCCUACAAGCCCCGCCCCCUUCCCGGAGGCCCCGCCCCCUCCAAUAAGCCCCACCCCCUUCUAUAAGCUCCUCCCAUUCCUGGAGCCUCCUCCCCCUCUUGGACUCCCCUCCCCCUUCUAUAAGCCCCUCCCCAUCCUGGGAGGCCCCGCCCCCUUCGCGGAUGCCCCGCCCCCUCCCCACAAGCCCCGCCCCCCCAGGUUCCCAGCUGGGCGCCAUGCUGGACAUGCUGCCCCUCCCCCUCCUGGAGUCCCCUCCCCCUUCUAUAAGCCCCUCCCCCUCUGACAAGCCCCGCCCCCUUU